AAGUUACUGCUGAAGUUAGGAAUUCCUUGCUCUCCCAUGGGCAUGUGUCAGUAAAGAGACGAGACACACAGAGACCCUCAGAUCAAAGGCUGAUACAAUGAUACAAUCCCCGGACUGCGCUGAAACCAUCAGGCUGCCACACAGCAGUUACAGUCAUCUCCUGAUCUGUCUUGAAAAUAGAGACAAAGCCCAAUAAUCUGGAAGGAAAAAACCACAUACACAGUCUUGCUCUGUCACCUGGGGCUGGAGCGCAGUGAUAAGAUCUCGGCUUACUGCAACCUCCACCUCCUGGGUUCAAGUGAUUCUCCUGUCUUUGCUUCUCGAGUAGCUGGGACUACAGGCGCAUACCACCACACCUGGCUAAUUUUUUAUACUUUUAGUAGAGAUGGUGUUUCACCAUGCUGGCCAGGCUGGUCUUUCAAAUGAUCUGCCCGCCUCGGCCUCCCAAAGUGCUGGGAUUACAGGUGUGAGCCACUGCACCCAGCCAAAAAUUCCAAAUUGCAAGAAUUUCACUCUGUCGCCCAGGCUAGAGUACAGUGGUGUCAUCUUGGCUCACUGGAAGCUCCACCUCCCAGGUUCAAGCAAUUCUCAUGCCUUGCCCACCUGGGGCAGCUAGGAUUACAGGUGCACGCCAACAUGCCGGCUAAUGUUGUAUUUUUAGUGAAGAUGGGGUUUCGCCAUGUCCACAUGUCCUUCACCACGUCCACGUGUCCUUCGCCAUGUGUUGGCCAGGCUGGUCUUGAACUACUGGCCUCAAGUGAUCUGCCUGCCUCGGCCUCCCAAAGUCCUGGAUCACAGGUAUGAGCUCACACCCCCAGCCUGAGUUUGAGUCUUGCUUUACCUUAUCCCACCCAUCCCUGCCACAGGUUAUCCACAGGUACCCUCGCAGACCAGGUGGUGCCCUGACGUCUGAUGAGUAAGUCGUAAGAAAUGAGGCUCCCACAUGCAAUUCUGUUCUCAGGAGCCCCACCCUGACAAUGCUGCGAAGCCAGGGAAGUGGUGAUCUGAGUUAGCAUUCUCCUGAUGUCCCUUUUUCUUCCUUUUGUAUUGUUUUUUAAAGAGGGUCUUGCUCUGUCACCCAGGCUGGAGUGCAGUGGUGCCAUCACAGCUCACGGCAGCCUUGAGAUUCUGGACUCAAGGGAUCCUCCCACCUCAGCCUCCCACGUAGCCGGGAUUACAGCUAUGCACCACCACACCUGGCUAAUUUUUAUUGUUAUUUUUUAAAAUAUUUUGGUUGAGAUGGAGUCUCGCUUUGUUGCUUGCACGCAGAGCAGACUGAACCCAACCCACAGUGGGGCACCAAGCUGGUCUCAAACUCCAGGACUCAAGCGGUCCUCCCUCCCCAGCCUCCCAGAGUACUGGGAUUACAGGUGAGAGUCACGAUCAACUUGGCCUUUGUUUUUUGUUGUUGUUUUUUCUCAAUUUUAGAAAAUAUCUCAUCUGGAAUAUCCCACCUGAGAGACUUCCAGAGUAGAAAUAAACAUUCUUGAAUAAUAAACCAAACCCUUGGGAAAUGUAAACUUUUGAGAAAGGAAUUCAGUGAGCACAGAUCUUCAACACUAGCAAGCAUAGGUAAAGGAAAGCAACAUCCCCGUGGCAAACAGAAUCAAAGAUCAAAGUUCUCUACUGUAUCUACACCUUCUGCCAUGUGACUUUGCUGCUCCUUCCACUGGAGGCAGAAGGUAACAGAUUUCCUACUGGACCGGGGCCACAGGAAUUGCUCGAGCUAAUGGAACGUGAGUAAAAAGGAAGUACAUGAGGUCUAGACUUAAUUUAAGAGGCACUGCAUGUUUCUGCCCAGCAGUCUUGGAAUAAAUACUGCCACUGCCAUUAGAAGAAUAUGCUGUACUGAUCUGAGGAAGCUGAGAGAGGUGGGGAGCCCCAGUACCAAGCGGAGCUCAGCCCAGCCUGCCCCAGCAGACCCUAACUGACUCCUGGACACAAGAGCAAAAACAAUUAUUAUUUUUUUUGAGAUGGAGUCUCGCUCUGUCACCCAGGCUGGAGGGCAGUGGCACCAUCUUGGUUCACUGCAACCUCCACCUCCCUGGUUCAAGCGAUUCUCCUGCCUCAGCUUCCCAAGUAGCUGGGAUUACAGGCACCUGCCACCACAUCUGGCUAAUUUUUUGUAUUUUUUAGUAGAGACAGGUUUUCACCAUGUUGGCCAGGCUGGUCUCAAACUCCUGACCAUGUGAUCCGCCCGCCUCGGCCUCCCAAAGUACCGGGAUUACAGGUGUGAGCCAUUGCACCCAAACAAAUUAUUGUAAUUUUAAAGCACUAAGCUUUGUGGUGACCACACGAUGGCAAAAGAUAACCAAUAUCUGCUUUGCUGUUUCAUUGCUAUCUGCCUUACAUUUCUAGAAGUGUAGGAAUCCAAAUGAGAGAACUCUACAAAAAAUAGAGUCAACACACUCACGGGCUUACUCCAACAGAAGCCUGUGCUGCAGAGACGCACUGAGGAGACCUGCCUCGCACAGACUCAGCUCCGGUGCAGUAAAUGAAAUGAAGAAAAGCCUGCCUAAGUGUAGGGCUGGAGUCGGAAUUUACACCCAAUGUGUGUUCAAAAACACCCAAAAUCUAUUUCUACGACCCUUUGGGCUGGUAAUACCUCAGGUACCUGGAGAAAUAAAACUCGAGUCCUUUCUGAAGGAAGGUCCUUUAAACUCAAGACUCAAAAAUUCCCCAGAGAUAAAAUUCUAAGGAAUAUAAAUCCUAAUUUUAAAAUUACUGUAGCUAACUCAACACAAAUACAUCUUUCAAAAAGUAACAUUUAGAAAAUGAACAAAUUGAGAGAAAUACAUACUAUACACCAUUGAUAUAAAGUUCAGAAGGAAGCACUGCUAAGCAAUAUCUUUUUUAAAUAUUUAAUAUGUUGUAAAAAAGAAACUACAGUACUAUCAAGGGGUUGAUUAACACUAAAUUCAGCACAGAGGAUAGCUUUGAUGGGAUAGAGGGGAAGGAACGGUGAGGGAAGCAGCUUCGGAUACAGGACUUCAGAACUACGGUUACUAUCCUCAAGCUUGGUGGAGGGUACGUGGAUGUCUUUUCACUACUAUUCUUUAAACUUUUUUUUGUUAGACAGAGUCUUGCUUUCUCUCCAGGCCGGAGUGCAGUGGCACAAUCUCAGCUCACUGCAACCUCCAUCUCCCCAGUUCAAGCAAUUCUCCUGCCUCAGCCUCCCGAGUAGCUGGGACUACAGGUGUGCACCACCAUGCCCAGCUAAUUUUUGCAUUUUUAGUAAACACAGGGUUUCACCAUGUUGGCCAGGAUGGUCUCAAUCUCUUGACCUUGUGAUCUACCCUCCUUGGCCUCCCAAAGUGCUGGGAUUAUAAGCAUGAGCCACCGCACCCGGCCUACUAUUCUUUAAACUUUAUCUCUACACUACAUAGACUUUUUUGCACACAGGUUUUACAAUAAAAGUAAAAUAAAAGAGAGGCUGCACAGGUACCAGACAACCUACAGCCCAAGUCUGGACAGUGUCACAGAGCGGUGACGGCCCAUGGCCAGCAAGGGUUUCCAGUGGUGACCUUCAGGUGACCUUCCUCUUUUCCAAGCGGUGAAAAGAACAAAAGAGAUGGUGGAAGGUACUUAUGAGUGGUUGAGAAGGCCGCACUCCAGCAAGAAAGCACAGAGGAUGUUAAGAACUGAUACUCGGGCGUGGGUGGUUUGGGCAUGCUGUGUCGGUGGCCGUGUGGCUCUCUGGUAACCAUGCGUAGUUUUUGACCAUGACCUCUGGGCUGGGAUGAUCCAUGCUCCAGGUGGUGGCAGGGAGAGCCAGGCUGGAACCACGGCCAAUAUGUGACAGCAGCUGGACUGACCAGCGUAGCUGCAGAAUCUGCAGGCCGGUAGAUGUUGAAGCCAGGAAGCACGUGGAGCCUCAAGUGAUUCAAAAUCCACCAAAACCUGCCUUCCAGGUGGCUACGACAGAGGUGGGUUUUCUUGACUUCAGCCAGUUAUGAGUUCUUUACAGACACAUCUGGCUGCAAAACAACCUGGGAGCACAUUUCUUAGCAUAGUUCCCUGCAAUGGGAACAGUGGCUAAUAUUCCAAGAUCCUUUCCCAUCUCCCCCAAGAGGGCUACGUGCUCUGUAAGCACAGCAGAGGCUUCGUCAGGAACUGCCCGCCACACACGUUGCAUGAAAGCUGCGCUCUAAACAGAAUGAGUCCGAGGAGAGCCUGGGCUGUGGCCUUCACAUCCAGCUGUUUUGAAAUGGAUUCAUUCAUUACUCCUGCAUGGGGCAAGUCUCAUAGUGGUUCCCUGGCACUUCAUUCAUCCAAGAGAUCAGUGAGUCUCCAUUUCAUAGUCCGGAAAACAGAAAGAUGGGCUAACUUUCUAAAAGUUAAACAGCAAGCAUGUGGCAGAGCUGGGGCUGAAACUAAUGAGCCCAGUGUCCUGGUCCCAGAAAGAAGCUUCCCUUCUUUAGAGAGGAAAAGCAGAAUACAAGAAAUGCAUCACGACAGAGUGUGAACGCGUGAGGGUAGGAGUGCCUAGGGCUUCUUUUCCAGGGAAUCCCCAUCACCAAAUUUCAUCUUCAUCUUUCCUUCUAACAAAUUAAGACUUAGAAAGCAUAUUGACUAUUUCCCAGGCUAGACUUCUAGGAGGAAAAAUCAAUUUCUGAUUCAGGAAAGGAGCUACUCACGCCAAACAGAAAGCAGAGAGCUUCGUGUCGAGGCCAUUGAUUUAGGCCGGAAAUUCUGAAUGCAAAGGAGUGAGAUAAAGGAGCGCCGAAAAUGGUAAGUGACGCAAAAUAAAGGGCAGCCUUAAUAAGUCCGUGACUUGAAAAGGGGUCACCCUGGCAGUGCGGAGAAAUGAAGAGUCCGCGGAGGAUAAUGUAUGAAAUGAGUCCUGCUGACUGAGACACGAGAAAGAGGGCGCAGGCGACAGGGAGCGAACAACACAGGUAAAUCGUUCCCCACACAUCUGUGCACGGCGUAGUCUGAAGUGUGAUUUCUGUGGCAACACUUGGGGAAAUUACAGCACUCUAAUGUAGGUGCAGUUCUUCCUUUUGUUAUUACGCCCCCUCCCUUUUCCCCCUGCCUGCACAUUUUUACCCACUCCCCAUAUUUAAUCAUUUCACCCCACCCCUUCCUAACUUCUCCCCUCUGUGCUUUGCCAGGAGCCAUCAGUGAAAUGGAGACAGCGGCCUAGGAUGGAAGAACUGGCAGGAUGCUGGCCACGAAAGGCGACCAGCACCUACAACAGAUGCGCGUGGCCAGGAAUGAGCUUUUAGCGCCCCGUGGUUCUCUGAAGCCCCAGGGGCUCUUCAAACUCCCGUCCUCCCUGCACGUCUGCUCCAAGCCCCCGUCCACCUGCCAGGCACUGUGACUGCAGCAACUGCUGCGCCCAAGAAGAGCACUCAUCGGCAGAAACAGCUGGGCAAAGAACGGCGUCAGGAGAGACAGGGAAGCAGGAACACAGUUGUGGGUUCAUGAGGCUCCUUUUCCUUUCCCUGUUGUUGUUAAGCGGCAAAGCAUUUUUUUCCAAACAAAAUCCUUUAUUAAUUCCCCUAAAAAUAACCCAUCUAAAACUUGUUGACCGGGUACAGUGGCUACGCCUGUAAUCCCAGCACUUGGGGAGGUUGAGGCAGGUGGAUCAUCUGAAGUCAGGAGUUGGAGAACAGCCUGGCCAAUAUGAUGAAACUCCGUCUCCAUUAAAAAUACAAAAGUGAACCAGGCGUGGCGGCACGUGCCUGUGAUCCCAGCUAUUCGGGAGGCUGAGACAGGAGAAUCACUUGAACCCGGGAGGCAGAGGUUGCAGUGAGCCGAGAUCGCGCCAUCGCACUCCAGCCUGGGCGACAAGAGCAAAACUCCAUCUCAAACAACAACAACAAAAACGUUGUUUUGGUUAAUUAGACCAGGAGUCUGGAGCCACACAGGUUCAGCCUUCACCCUGCACACUCCCCAGACGUAGCCCCCAGGGCACUCCAGGGAGCAGGAAGAGCACCUUCAGGGAACGCAGGGCACUAAGGCUGAGCAGAAAUCCCCAGUCAGAACACCCCUGUGGAGAGCAGCCGCAGACGCAGGCGGCCCAACUGAGUGACCAGCUGGGUCAGGCUGCUGACCCAAAAGCAGGUCUAACGGCCCCAGAUGUUGACAGUAAAACCCCCAAACUCACUUCCUUUGUUCACUCGUUCCCUGGGGCUGCUGUAACGAUCGCCCCAAGCUUGCCAGCAGGGAGGAACAGAAAUGCAUUCUCUCAUGCCUCUGGAGGCCAAAAGUCCAACUUCAAAAGUGUCGCCACAGUGAGCUCCUUCUGGAGAGCCUAAGAGAGGACCCGUUCCACACCUCUCUCCCAGCGUCUGCUGGCUGCCAACAGUCUUUGGCACUCCUUGGCCUAUGAAGACAUGUCUCCAGUGUCUGCCUCUGGCUUCACGUGGCUCCUCCUCUGUGCUUCUGUCUCCUCCAUUUCUGUCUCUCUUGACACUCAUCACUGAAAUCAGCUUCCCCCAAUCUAAGAAGAUCUCACCUCGAGAUCCUCACCUUAAUGACAUUCGUAAAGACUAUUCCAGGAGGUGACUUUGGCAACAUGGCAAAAUAGGAAGUCCAAGACCCUCUUUGUCCCUACAGAGACACCAACUCACAAAAAUAUAUAGAAUAAUUCCCCUUGUGAGAAACAGAGAAACCAACGAAGAGGCUCCUGCCCCUGAGCUAGUGCAAAAGCAGCUGAUGAAGCUGGCAGGGAAACUCACGGUCGACUCAGCACAGUCCCGCCCCGAGGCCAGCACGGUAUGGCCAAGAGGAAACUUCCAGCUUCUCGCUCCUCCCUGGACCAUAGUACAAUGUUAAGACUUUACAAGGGGACUGCCCAGGGGAUGGCUUAGAACAGGAAAGGGCACCCGGUCAAGGGCUGCUGAGAAUAAAGGAAGGGGUUUAGAUCAGCAUGUUCCGAUUUGCCAUAGUCCAUGCUCUCCAGCUCGGCACAAAAUAAGCAGGAGAAAACCCCUAACUCCUGGCCUCUCCCUGCGGGGAGAAAGUUAGAGCACGCGUUCAAAGUUCUAGCUUUUCAGGGAGAAUUUUUUUUUUGAGACAGGAGUCUCGUUCUGUCACCCAGGCUGGAGUGCAGGGGUGCAAUCUUGACUCACUGCAACCUCUGCCUCCUGGGUUCAAGUGAUCCUCCUGCUCAGCCUCCUGAGUAGUUGAGAUUACAGGCACCUACCAGCAUGCCUGGCUAAUUUUGGUAUUUUUAGUAGAGUUGGGGUUUCACCAUGUUGGCCAGGCUGGUCUCAAACUCCUGACCUCAGGAGAUCCACCUCAGCCUCCCAAAGUGCUGGGAUUACAGGCGUGAGCCACCGUGCCUGGCCCAGGGAGAAUUUUUAAAGCAGCAAAAGAAAAGCAACUUGUCACAUACAAUGAAGCCCCUAAAAGGCGAUCAGUGGGCUUCACAGCAUAACCCUCGCAAGCAAGAAGCAAGUGAGAUAAUACGUUCAAAGUGCUGAGAGAAUAAAAACCUGUCACGUUCCAAGAAUAAAGACUCUCCCAAAUAAGCAAAAGCAGGAGUUCCUCGCUACUAGACUGACUUUACAAGAGUUACUAAAGGCAGUCCUUCAAGAUGAAAUGAAGGCAUGCUUGAUAGGAAAAGAAAAGCAUACAAAAGCACAAAGUUCACUACUAAAGGUAAACAUAUAGACAAAUACAGAAUACUCUAAUAUGUAGCAGCCGUGCGUAAAUCACUUUUAAUUCUGGAAUGGAGGUUAAAAGACAAAAGUAUCCAGCCAUCUGAUCUUUGACAAGCCUGACAAAAACAGCAACGGGGAAAGGAUUCCCUGUUUAAUAGAUGGUGCUGGGAGAACUUGCUAGCCAUGUGCAGAAAAUGGAAACGGGACCAAUUCCUCACACCUUAUUCAAAAAUACUCAAGAUGGGUUAGAGACUUAAAUGUAAGACCUAAGACCAUAAAAACCCGAUAAGAAAACUUCGGCAGUAACACUCAGGACACAGGCAUGGGCGAAGACUUCAUGACUGAAAUACCAAGAGCAACGGCAACAAAAGCCAGAAUUCACUAAAGGGAUCUAUUUAAACUAAAGAGCUUCUGCACAGCAAAAGAAACUAUCAUCGGAGUGAACAGGCAACCUACAUCAUGGGAGAAAAUCUUUGCAAUCUACCCAUCUGACAAAGGGCUAGUAUCCACAUUCUACAAGGAACUUACACAAAUUUACAAGGAAAAAAACCCCAUCAAAAAGUAGAAGGAUAUGAACAGACACUUCUCAUAAGAAGACAGUUAUGCAGCCAACAACAUAUGAAAAAAAGCUCAUCACUGGUCAUUCGAGAAAUGCAAGUCACAACCACAAUGAGACACCGUCUCACACCAUAGUGAUCAUUAAAAGUCAGCAAACAGCAGGUGCUGGAGAGGAUAUGGAGAAAUAGGAACGCUUUUACACUGCUGGUGGGCAUGUAAAUUAGUUCAACCAUUGUGGAAGACAGUGUGGCGAUUCCUCAAGAGUCUAGAACCAGAAAUUCCAUUUGACCCAGCAAUCCCAUUACUGAGUAUAAACCCAAAGGAUUAUAAAUCAUUCUACUAUAAAGACACAUGCACACGAAUGCUUAUUGCAGCACUGUUUACAAUUGCAAAGACUAGCAACCAACUCAAACGCCCCUCAAUGAUAGACAGGAUGAAGAAAAUGUGGCACAUAUAUACCAUGGAAUACUAUGCAGCCAUAAAAAAGGAUGAGUUCAUGUCCUUUGCAGGGACAUGGAUGAAGCUAGAAACCAUUAUUCUCAGCAAACUAACACAAGAACAGAAAACCAAACACCACAUGUUCUCACUCAUAAGUGGGAGUUGAACAAUGAGAACACAGGACACAGGGAGGGGAACAGCACAUAC
Callithrix jacchus (white-tufted-ear marmoset) is the source of this 8816-nucleotide non-coding RNA. The record is from RefSeq and is a predicted model, not a curated record. NCBI's taxonomy places the organism in Eukaryota, Metazoa, Chordata, Mammalia, Primates, Cebidae.